This 253-nucleotide unclassified non-coding RNA is filed under the name uncultured Armatimonadota bacterium. Its description in RNAcentral is "uncultured Armatimonadetes bacterium contains 16S-23S intergenic spacer region". It matches the Rfam family "Bacterial small subunit ribosomal RNA", at positions 524 to 776 of the family's 1533-position model. The record is from RNAcentral. Lineage: Bacteria; Bacillati; Armatimonadota.
UACGGAGGGUGCAAGCGUUAAUCGGAAUGACUGGGCGUAAAUCGCACGCAGGCGGUAUGCUCAGCCAGAUGUGAAAGCCACGGGCUCAACCUGGGAACUGCAUUUGGAACUGGCAGGCUAGAGUCUUGGAGAGGGGGGUAGAAUUUCCGGUGUAGAGGUGAAAUGCGUAGAGAUCGGAAGGAAUACCAGUGGCGAAGGCGGCCCCCUGGCCAAAGACUGACGCUCAGGUGCGAAAGCGUGGGGAGCAAACAGG